This 497-nucleotide ribosomal RNA is filed under the name uncultured bacterium. RNAcentral's name for it is "partial 16S ribosomal RNA". It matches the Rfam family "Bacterial small subunit ribosomal RNA", at positions 28 to 507 of the family's 1533-position model. The record is from RNAcentral.
GAUGAACGCUGGCGGCGUGCCUAAUACAUGCAAGUCGAGCGAACGGACGAGAAGUUUGCUUCUCUGAUGUUAGCGGCGGACGGGUGAGUAACACGUGGAUAACCUACCUAUAAGACUGGGAUAACUUCGGGAAACCGGAGCUAAUACCGGAUAAUAUUUUGAACCGCAUGGUUCAAAAGUGAAAGACGGUCUUGCUGUCACUUAUAGAUGGAUCCGCGCUGCAUUAGCUAGUUGGUAAGGUAACGGCUUACCAAGGCAACGAUGCAUAGCCGACCUGAGAGGGUGAUCGGCCACCCUGGAACUGAGACACGGUCCAGACUCCUACGGGAGGCAGCAGUAGGGAAUCUUCCGCAAUGGGCGAAAGCCUGACGGAGCAACGCCGCGUGAGUGAUGAAGGUCUUCGGAUCGUAAAACUCUGUUAUUAGGGAAGAACAUAUGUGUAAGUACCUGUGCACAUCUUGACGGUACCUAAUCAGAAAGCCACGGCUAACUACGUG